ACGCUCGACACCUACGGUAGGCAGCAGUGGGGAAUAUUGCACAAUGGGGGAAACCCUGAUGCAGCAACGCCGCGUGAAGGAAGACGGUUUUCGGAUUGUAAACUUCUGUUCUUAGUGAAGAUAGUGACGGUAGCUAAGGAGCAAGCCACGGCUAACUACGUGCCAACAGCCGCGGUAAUCUGAGCGGGCUGGCAAGGC
Molecule: ribosomal RNA, 198 nt
Filed under: uncultured bacterium
Lineage: Bacteria
Description: partial 16S ribosomal RNA
Rfam family: Bacterial small subunit ribosomal RNA
Source: RNAcentral